Molecule: small nuclear RNA, 150 nt
Filed under: Castor canadensis (American beaver)
Lineage: Eukaryota; Metazoa; Chordata; Mammalia; Rodentia; Castoridae
Description: U1 spliceosomal RNA (ENSCCNG00000012742.1)
Rfam family: U1 spliceosomal RNA
About the family: U1 is a small nuclear RNA (snRNA) component of the spliceosome (involved in pre-mRNA splicing). Its 5' end forms complementary base pairs with the 5' splice junction, thus defining the 5' donor site of an intron. There are significant differences in sequence and secondary structure between metazoan and yeast U1 snRNAs, the latter being much longer (568 nucleotides as compared to 164 nucleotides in human).
Source: RNAcentral
AUACUUACCUGGCAGGGGAGAUACCAGGAUCUUGAAGGUGGUUUUCCCAAGGCGAGCUCAUCCAUUGCAUUGUGAAUGUGCUGAAUCCCACAAAAUCCCCAAAUGUGGGAAAUUCAUGAUAGUGAGGCACUGCAUCUGUGCUCUCUCCUG